UGCUUUCAUUCAAAUUUUUCUUUCUCCCUCAUAUUUUCCGCCGAUGCAUUUCCAGCAAACUUCUCACCUUUUCUUUCCGUGGCACUAAGAAAUGGCACAGACAACCAUAUUAUGUUAAUUUCGAGAACUGACACUAGUAGUCAGUAUUGGGGGUGGUAGUCAGUAUUGGGGGAAAGAAUUGACACAUGUAGUCAUAUUCUGGAAAUUUCGAGAACUGACAAUGGUAGUCAGUAUUGGGGGAAAGAAUGGGCACAAGUAGCCAUAUUCUGGAAAUUUCGAGAACUGACACUAGUAGUCAGUAUUGGGGGAAAUAAUUGGCACAAGUAGCCAUAUUGUUGGCAUUUCGAGAACUGACACUAAUAGUCAAUAUUGUGGGAAGAGAAUUGGCACGGGUAACCAUAUUGUGGGUAAUUUCGAGAAUUAGCACUGAUGGCCAUAUUGUGAUGGGUGCAUUCGAGAUCGGUUCUUACAAUGCAAUAAGAAUUCGAUAACAAAGAUCUGAUCUGUUUUAUCCUGGAGACGGCG
RNAcentral lists this long non-coding RNA (525 nucleotides) under Lupinus angustifolius (narrow-leaved blue lupine). RNAcentral's name for it is "long non-coding RNA (LANG_LNC003208)". The record is from RNAcentral. Lineage: Eukaryota; Viridiplantae; Streptophyta; Magnoliopsida; Fabales; Fabaceae.